RNAcentral lists this unclassified non-coding RNA (2020 nucleotides) under Pomacea canaliculata. RNAcentral's name for it is "leucine-rich repeat-containing protein 57-like, transcript variant X1". Lineage: Eukaryota; Metazoa; Mollusca; Gastropoda; Architaenioglossa; Ampullariidae. The record is from RNAcentral.
UCUCUCGCGCGCCGUGUGUUGCCGGGGUACCGUGCGGCCAACAGCGGGUAGGCCGGGUGGCGGGUGUCAGGCACACUCCGCUGACGGUUAGUGAAAGCGGAACAAGCAGCCAUUGCCGACACUCCUUGAGCCGUGUGAUCGGCCUGGCGGCGGACUUAGCGCGGGCCCUCCGGUGGAGAUCGAACUCCAUUUCUCGCCAGGCAACUCCCCGUGUACAUCCACCCACACCUCGCUACAGGUCGCUCACCAGCGAGUGGUGGGCAGCAAGAAGGGACUGACAGACAAGAGGAGAAAUAAGACUUUGCCCCGCAAGUAAUCCCACAGUGACGAUGUCCGUGUCGCCACCGACCUUUCGUGGAGAGCGACUGAGGAGACGGUCACAGAGUCUGUAGACUCGGCCACCACACCGCACACACACCUGUAAACAGUUGAGUUUACUCUCUCACAGCCUGGAGUGCAGGUGACUGCGCGGGGGAAGCAGCGCCCUCAGGAUCACUUGCUGGCCUCCGGGACAACAGGCAAUCAGGGUGAGAGGUCGUCUUACGACACAAGAGCUGACACUUGUCACACUUGUCACAGCAUGAGCCUCGAGUAAGGUGAACCGCUCUUACCUGCUCGGUUGCUAGGUGUUGCUCCCAGACGCGGUGACCAUGACAACAGUGAAAGCCUAUCGUCUGCGUAUCGAGACGGAAGACCCGAUGUACUACGGGCAGAAGAAGCUGAAGAUCACAGGCCGUGACCUCGUGAACCUCAGCAGCUCCGUCUUCCACCUGCUGGAGUUGGAGGUCCUCGACCUCAGUCCCGAGCGGGAGUCGUGCCUGGACUACAAGCUGACGUCACUUCCGCCCGGCAUCGGGCGCCUGGUCAACUUGACCACGCUGAUGCUGGACACCAACGACCUGACGGAGGUGCCGCCGGAGAUGGCGCUGCUGCAGCAGUUGGAGCGCCUGGCCCUCAGCAACAACCACUUGUCCUCCCUGCCACCCGAGUUCAAGAACCUGAAGGAGCUGCGCAGCCUGCACCUGGCCAACAACGACUUCCACGACUUCCCGCCGCAGCUGUGCUGCAUCACCACGCUGCAGUUCCUGGACCUGUCCGACAACCACAUCAAGGCUCUGCCAGAGGAGAUCAGCCAGCUGCAGGAGCUGCAGACGUUGUUGCUGUUCAUCAACGACCUGCCGAAGCUGCCGGAAGCGCUGUGUCAGCUGACGGAGCUGCGGUGUCUGUGGGUGGGCAAGAACCGCCUGCGCGCGCUGCCUCGCCACUUCGGGCAGCUGGUCAACCUGGACUGGGGGCACCGCUACACCUCCUCCGCCCUCGACGACAACCCGCUCAUCCACCCGCCGCUGGAGAUCUGCCGCAUGGGCCCGCAGGCCAUCGACCGUUACAUGACCUCGCUGCACGGCGGCGACACCGCGGACAGACACAAGGACGACAGCAGAAGCAGAACGAACUCCAGGAAAGACGGGAAGGCGGAAAUGAUCCGAGACAACGGAACAUAGACAAAAGCUGAGCCACAAAGAGGCUGGGAAAGGAGGAGGACAGCAGAGGUCGAGGGCUUGGACUCGUGCUGUUUACGAACUAUACCAUGUACAAACUCGUGCUGUUUCCGAAUGAUACACUGUGGACUCGUGCUGUUUACGAAUAAUACCGUGUAAGACUCGUGCUAUUUCCAAAUAAGGAAACCAGGGGCAACAUCUCGCGCCCACCCAACCUGAGAAUGGCGCGGGUGUCGGAGAUUGUGACUGUCAACAGAGCAGUGCGACUGUGAAUAGAAGCGUGAUUGUGAACAGAGGUGUGUGAAUGUGAAAGAAGAGUUUUUCUCUCUCUUGUGGUUGUAACCCUGGGCAGGCGUCACACAGAUACACAAAACUUGAGACUCCAUGGAACUGCUGUCGACUUGACAUCAGCACGUGACACAGACCUCAGCAACAAACUGCUUUCUCAGACAUUUCUUGUAAACAUUAACAAUUUAUUUUAAAAAUGAAAAUUCAAAACCUAAUAGUUUGUUUCUGUUUUA